Molecule: non-coding RNA, 89 nt
Filed under: Pelobacter propionicus DSM 2379
Lineage: Bacteria; Pseudomonadati; Thermodesulfobacteriota; Desulfuromonadia; Desulfuromonadales; Desulfuromonadaceae
Description: pan motif
Rfam family: pan motif
Source: RNAcentral
CAACGGCUACCCACGGGAGCCGAUUGGAAGCUGAUGGCCAUACAGUAACCACAUACCGCGCGGAUUCGAAGGCGAACCGGGACGGAAGG